Molecule: ribosomal RNA, 507 nt
Filed under: uncultured bacterium
Lineage: Bacteria
Description: bacterial SSU rRNA
Rfam family: Bacterial small subunit ribosomal RNA
Source: RNAcentral
AUUGAACGCUGGCGGCACGCCUAACACAUGCAAGUCGAGCGGCAGCAUGCUUAGUAGCAAUACUAAGUGAUGGCGAGCGGCGGACGGGUGAGGAACACGUAGGAACCUGCCCAAGAGAGGGGGAUAACUAAGGGAAACUUUAGCUAAUACCGCAUAAUCUCUGAGGAGAAAAGUUGCCCGUAAGGGUAGCGCUUUUGGAGGGGCCUGCGUCCGAUUAGCUAGUUGGUGAGGUAAUAGCUCACCAAGGCGAUGAUCGGUAACUGGUCUGAGAGGACGACCAGUCACACUGGGACUGAGACACGGCCCAGACUCCUACGGGAGGCAGCAGUGGGGAAUCUUGGACAAUGGGGGCAACCCUGAUCCAGCGAUGCCGCGUGGGUGAAGAAGGCCUUCGGGUUGUAAAGCCCUUUAGGCUGGGAAGAAGAAUGUGGGAUGAAUAAUCCUGUAUUUUGACGGUACCAGCAGAAUAAGCACCGGCAAACUCUGUGCCAGCCGCCGCCGUAAAAC